GGCACCUUUCCUUCAGAGAUAUCUGCUGGUACUGCCAUAUAAUUGCUGUGUCCUCUCUGUCGUUCGUUUGCCAUGGCGUUAUUAUAUUCGUUAUGUGAAGUGUGGUAGAGGGACCGAGUUUUUGCUCGUUAGUUCCCUUUUUUAUAAUAAGGCCCUGUACGACACAUAAAAAGUCACUACAACUCAGCACAUGUGUCAAGAAGGAAUGACGACCAUCUUGAAAAUAUUUCGCGCCAUUAAAAUGGCUUUGUGAUAAAAGGAGAAUAGCGUCAACAUGCAUAACCGAACGAAUAGCAGUCCGUAAUUACUGUAAAUUGCAUGCGCGCGAUUAGAUCAAAGGGCGACACGUAGAACUUUACCAAACGGUUGCUGUGUCCUUUCUUCACUCGCAGGCAAAGAAUCUAAUCCGUUUCCUGCUGAUACAAAAUGAUGCGAGUCACACACACAAAAAAAGAAAAUCUUUUGUCUUGUGCCCUUUUUUGACCUCUCCCUUUCCUACACGCAUGAUGAAAUGACGCCGAACUCACGGCUGAAUGCUUAUAAGCGAAUAACCCACUCAACCAUUAGUAUAGUUACACACUCUUGUCAGUUCUCCAACCAGCUGAUGUUCUCCCCCCCCCCACUCACGACAUUCGUCCCUGAAGAACUUGUUUGAAGUUUAUUCGACUGUAUUUUCCCCAAUUACUAACUACUACAACUACUACUGUCUUCACCCAGCCUUACAUUCAAAGGAGAUGAAAUGAAAUCACUUCGAUGAAGCGUGGUUGCCAUAUGGUGAAUUCGAAGAAAAGUAGACUAAUUGGAUUUACUUUGCUGACGUGACUACAAUUCAAAAAUCUCUGCAAUAUCAGCAGGUUUACAGUAAAAAAAAAAAAAAUCAAAAAUGAUAAAUAUGAAGGGAACGUAACACGAGUGAGGAAGAGAUUGACGUCUUUUCUUAUUGGAUUUCGUUGUUUUUAUUACGACAGCAGACAGCACAAAAGUGUCAGCUGUGAACUGGUUUCAUACCUGUCAAAGUCAAUUUGGACACCAUACACUUUUACUGUCAAUAUUUUAUAAACUUUGUUCUCUUUUUAUCAAAGAAACGUGACACGUUCCGAAUAUCAUCGGAUGUGAAUAGUUUUAUUAUUUCGUCAGGACGUAGAUAAUCAUCUUCACGUGGACACAAGUUUUCAAUGUUAUUGUUACGUCAUCGUAUUUACAAGAGAAUGUUUUAUUUCUUUUUAAAAUAGAACAAAUAAGAACCGUGAUGAUACUA
This is a long non-coding RNA of Daphnia magna, 1258 nucleotides long. RefSeq lists it as uncharacterized. The transcript has 3 exons. The record is from RefSeq and is a predicted model, not a curated record. Lineage: Eukaryota; Metazoa; Arthropoda; Branchiopoda; Diplostraca; Daphniidae.